AACAUUUGGGUGGGAGAAGAUUGUCGGAAGCAAAGGAAAAGCAAUCGGCAUUGACCGCUUUGGAGCAAGUGCUCCAGCAGGGAAAAUUUACAAAGAGUUUGGCAUAACUGUUGAGGCUGUUAUCGCCGCUGCUAAACAAGUUAUCUAGAACAGGUUAGUUGUAAUUCGCUGAAACGAAUCCAACAUCUACCAUUUGUUUAAAUUUGGGCGGGAAUUUCUG
This 220-nucleotide unclassified non-coding RNA is filed under the name Hevea brasiliensis (rubber tree). The record is from RNAcentral. Lineage: Eukaryota; Viridiplantae; Streptophyta; Magnoliopsida; Malpighiales; Euphorbiaceae.